This 852-nucleotide long non-coding RNA is filed under the name Struthio camelus australis. Its description in RNAcentral is "lncRNA (ENSSCUG00000015857.1)". Lineage: Eukaryota; Metazoa; Chordata; Aves; Struthioniformes; Struthionidae. The record is from RNAcentral.
UGUUUGCAUUGCAAGUGACAUCUGGCUGACAGGAACUUGGAGAAAUGGGAUGCGAAGUGAAUGCUGCAGUUACCACAGCAUUAUAUUUAUCAAAAGGUUUAAGACCAUUCUCUGUCUGUGGUGAAAGGCAGGUUGGUCAAAGGUCUGAUCCUUUUGGAAGCCACGUUCUGGCACUUUCUUCUUUUGGGGUGAAGAUGAAAGUGAUUGAACGGCAUUCAACAUAAACAUCCUUUCUUUCUCAAGAAGACGUUAGUAGCACCUACAUGUACACAUAUCCUACAGGAACUGAGUGCUCCAGAUGAUGUUCAAGAUAAAGUGAAUCAAAGUACUUGCAGACAUCAUGUCGGGCUGAAAUUCUAAGGAGACACUCCCUAUGAUUCAUGGGAGAGGAAGAAGAAAUAAAAGUUAUUCCACUACUGCAUGGAGAGAGUCCUAACUGCAGUUGUGCAGCACUGCUGAUAACAGGCCAAAACAGCAUCCUGUCAGGAUACUGCUGGAGUACUUUGUUUGACUCGUCAAAACUUCAGACGGAUUCACUGCAUUGUCUGGACACUGGAGAUCCAGUUCAGUGCUGCAGUUGGCCCGUUCCUGGUCUAGCCAAACCUCCUCUCCACAUGCAUAUAGGAGACAAGAUGGGUUGUGAUGCUCUGCUGCACUUUUGUGACUGCAAAAACUUGAUUAUUCACCAGAAGUGUGUGUUUACCUGGACACAAAAGGAUUUUUAUAUAGAAGAUAGUACAGGAGGCAGAGAAUCUACAGCACAGGUAAGUCACUCAGCUGAUGAUAUUUACAAAUUUUGACAAAAAGUAUUGCAUUUAAUGUGCAAUAAACAAUUUGCAGUUCAAGAAAGCA